Molecule: transfer RNA, 51 nt
Filed under: Eugenia prasina
Lineage: Eukaryota; Viridiplantae; Streptophyta; Magnoliopsida; Myrtales; Myrtaceae
Description: partial tRNA-His
Source: RNAcentral
CGGAUGUAGCCAAGUGGAUCAAGGCAGUGGAUUUGUGAAUCCCCCCCCGCC